This 97-nucleotide non-coding RNA is filed under the name pig gut metagenome. RNAcentral's name for it is "THF riboswitch". It matches the Rfam family "THF (Tetrahydrofolate) riboswitch aptamer". From Rfam's summary of the family: THF riboswitch presents a pseudoknot that joins P1-P2 and the loop of P3 and two THF binding. The record is from RNAcentral.
CAGAGUAGGUCGUUUUGCGUUUCAGUGUUUUGAGAACGGGGAGUUGUCUCAAAAACGAAAUGGUUCAUCCUGCGGUAAAACGACCGCAUCCCGCUGU